GGAGGGGACAGUUCUUCCAGGUUUGGGAAAGGGGCGGGGAGCUGAAGCGAUGAGGUAAUUGGAGCGGUGACCGGUCGGUCCUCGCGCGCCUCCUCGGGUCCCUGCAUCGAGUUGUGAAGGCACAGGCUGGGCGCGACUCAGGCACCCUGGAGGGACUCUCCGAGGGGUGCCGGGCUGCAAACCGGAGCCCGUGAAAUCCCCUCUGGGGAAGCAGAGGUGGGCCGGUUCCGAUCCCGACGUUCCCUUCGGGCGUGCGGAGAAGCGUCUUAAGAGGGCUGACUCCGACCUUCACGCACGUUAACCCUCAAACCGGUUUAGCUUCGGCGUUUUGGAACCCAGCCCACCGAGCCGCGGGGAUCGCCUUGGCGUGCAACUCAGGAAAGUUUUAAGGGUCCUCCCCCUCAACCCCCCGUCUGCACGUGCACCCUCGCCUUUCCUGCCUGUGAAAGCUGGUGACCACCCUGCUCUCCUUUCUCUUUCUGCAGGUCCGGAAAUCUGCUCAGAGCACGGAACUACCCAGCUCGAGCCUGGGUAGACGACCCGCGCACUCCUCUCGCCUCUAAUUCGGGAUCAUUAAUUUCAUCGGAAAUGGGGUAACCAGUGUAGGAGAUAGAGAAAGCAAACCGAGCAUCAGAUGGCAGUUCUCGUGAAUCCGCGCGGUAAGAACUUCCUCUGGACUCAGUUUUUAAAGUGCAGUUCUCAGUUCCUCGCCACCCGACCCUCCGUGGGUACCACCGCCAGGCAUUAGCUGGAAGGGAAGGACUCUUCUUUGGACUGGUGGUACCUGGCCAACAGGUGUGCCACCUGGAGGAGGAGAAGGCACAGCCAUGCUACAGGGAGCUCAUUGCGGCGGCGUUCUCCUGGCUGCAGAUAAUUCUGGAAGGCCGGAUCCAGCUCAAGCACCAACAUUUCUGCGAAGUUAUCACAAGAGUUUGUGGCUCUGCCCAACGUGAGUCACAGAAGAGACACGGGGGAGAAGGAGCAGCCACAUGAAGACAGAGGCAGAGACUGGAGCUAUGCUCCCCCCAGCCAAGGAAAGCCAAGAAUGGCCAGAAACCACGGAGAGCUAGAAGAAGCAAGGAAAGAUUCUUCCGUAAAGCCUCAGAGGGAACAGGUCCCUGCUGACACCUUGACGUUAG
Bos taurus (domestic cattle) is the source of this 1139-nucleotide long non-coding RNA. The record is from Ensembl. Lineage: Eukaryota; Metazoa; Chordata; Mammalia; Artiodactyla; Bovidae.